GAAAAGAAAAUAACAAUGAUUUCCCUAGUAACGGCGAGUGAAGAGGAAAGAGCUCAAAGUUGGAACCUGUUUGGCUUAGCUAAACCGGAUUGUAAACUGUAGAAGUGUUUUCCAGACACGCCUGGUAAAAAAGUCCUUUGGAACAGGGCAUCAUAGAGGGUGAGAAUCCCGUCAUUGGCCAGAGCUGUUGUCUUUUGUGAUACAUUUUCAAAGAGUCAGGUUGUUUGGGAAUGCAGCCUAAAUUGGGUGGUAAAUCUCACCUAAAGCUAAAUAUUUGCGAGAGACCGAUAGCGAACAAGUACCGUGAGGGAAAGAUGAAAAGAACUUUGAAAAGAGAGUUAAACAGUAUGUGAAAUUGUUAAAAGGGAACCGUUUGGAGCCAGACUGGCUUAACUGUAAUCAAUCUAGGCUUUGGCCUGGAUGCACUUGCGGUUUAUGCCGGCCAACGACAGUUUUGUUUGAGGGAAAAAAUUACAUUGAAUGUGGCCCUUCGGGGUGUUAUAGCUUUGUAAAAAAUACCUUGGACUGGACUGAGGAACGCAGUGAAUGCCUUUAGGCAAGAUUGCUGGGUGCUUUCGCUAAUAAAUGCUAGAAUUUCUGCUUCGGGUGGUGCUAGUGUUUAAAGGAGGAACUCGCUUAGUAUAUUUUUUAUUCGCUUAGGUUGUUGGCUUAAUGACUCUAAAU
RNAcentral lists this ribosomal RNA (684 nucleotides) under Mucor hiemalis f. corticola. RNAcentral's name for it is "partial 28S ribosomal RNA". It matches the Rfam family "Eukaryotic large subunit ribosomal RNA", at positions 56 to 645 of the family's 3401-position model. The record is from RNAcentral. Lineage: Eukaryota; Fungi; Mucoromycota; Mucoromycetes; Mucorales; Mucoraceae.